This 451-nucleotide ribosomal RNA is filed under the name uncultured bacterium. RNAcentral describes it as "partial 16S ribosomal RNA". It matches the Rfam family "Bacterial small subunit ribosomal RNA", at positions 354 to 796 of the family's 1533-position model. The record is from RNAcentral.
GUGGGGAAUAUUGGACAAUGGGCGCAAGCCUGAUCCAGCCAUGCCGCGUGUGUGAAGAAGGCCUUUUGGUUGUAAAGCACUUUAAGCGAGGAGGAGGCUACCGAGAUUAAUACUCUUGGAUAGUGGACGUUACUCGCAGAAUAAGCACCGGCUAACUCUGUGCCAGCCGCCGCGGUAAUACAGAGGGUGCAAGCGUUAAUCGGAUUUACUGGGCGUAAAGCGCGCGUAGGUGGCCAAUUAAGUCAAAUGUGAAAUCCCCGAGCUUAACUUGGGAAUUGCAUUCGAUACUGGUUGGCUAGAGUAUUGGAGAGGAUGGUAGAAUUCCAGGUGUAGCGGUGAAAUGCGUAGAGAUCUGGAGGAAUACCGAUGGCGAAGGCAGCCAUCUGGCCUAAUACUGACACUGAGGUGCGAAAGCAUGGGGAGCAAACAGGAUUAGAAACCCGGGUAGUCC